CACACUUGGAAGGCUUCCAUUAUGAAGUAAACAUUACCCAGCAGAACUGUCAGUAGUGAAAUAAGGAAUACCUAACAGGAACCAAGAUGUCCUGGGCAUUUUUGGUGGGAGAAGUGAAGAGCACACAGGCUACACUACCCAGGUAUGUCCUAUAUUCAGAGCUGACUUCUGUUUCAUGGGAUUAGGAGCAAUUUAACAGUGUGUGCCAUCUGAAAGAGUGAAGGUGCUGGUAAGACUCCUAUCGCUCUACAGAGAAAUAAAGAAGAGACAACACAUGUGAUCAAAUGCAUAAAUCAAGUUAUCUUUGAAGAUUUUUACAGCUAGAAAAGCUAAAGAAGAAGAAAAUAUCAAACACAUCCAUACACAGUAAAUCAGUUGCCGUCAAAAAGAUUUAUUGAAGAAAAAUCAGCAAAGUGAAAACAGACCCAUUUUAAAAGCCUGUGUCAGGAAAGAAUGAAGAUCUAUGUCCUUGAAUUGUUAACCAAAAGCAUAAGAAGAGUGUGAUAUCAGUGCUUAAGACCUGAAAAAGAUGGACAAAAAUUCAAGAAAGAAAUUUUAAAGAAAGAAAAUCACAGUUUUCAUAUGUUCACCCAUAAUAUUCUUUUGGACAAAUGUGCAUGUUUGUAAAAUAUCAUUUUGCCUUAGUCUGCAUCCAACAUGAGCCAGGAAUAUUUCUUACAGGUGGGUGCUAAACAAUUACUGAAUAGCCUUAAUUCUUAUGUAUGUUUUUUAAUAGAAGAGAACCAUCAGUUAAAUACUAAUGAAAAAAAUCUGUUUAGAAUAAACAUUUCAGAUAUUUUAAUACUACAACAAUUUUUUUGAGAUAUGUUAAUUUCAUUCUCUCCAUCGCUUUAACUCAUACUAAAAUAUGCUAUUGAGAAUUAACUAAAAUGACAUACACCAUUAAAUGUAGCAAGAAGUGAGCUUUCUUUAUUGCUCUCUCUUCAUAUCCCUAAAGCUGGGAUUAGAAGGUUUUAUAUUAGGAUAAGUAAUUAUUGGAUAACAAUUAAACUUUGUGAUACUAGGGGAACUGUUGUAUUGCUGAGUUUUCUAAGUUUCCAUAAAUAUAUUCUGCUGUAUGAGCUCUAUUUCUAAGCAUCCACAUUUUCUAAGUCUAAUACUUGCCUUAAAAGCCCACAUUCUCUAAUUUAUUGAGAUUUUUGCUUGUUCAACAAACUUCUCAGAUGUUUAAGCUAGCUGUCUAGGCUAUUGUACAAUUCUACUUGACAUCUCCUUUGUUGCUUUAAAUCAGGAACUCAUCUGGUUCUUCUUUCAGUAGUUUAAAGACACCUGUUUCAGUUGUACAAUUGUCUUCUGUUUGGUUUGGGACAUCUAAAUCGGGAGUAGUUCCUGAAAAUGCCUCAGUGUCCUUACUUACAGAUUCCAUUCUAUUAUUUUCAGACAAAUCUUCUUUUGUCAUAGUAGAUGAAUCUUCCUUGAUGUUCGUCGCUACAGAUGCAGGGACAAUGAAGUCAUAUCUGGAUUCAACAGCACUUAGCAAAACAGGAUAUUUCUCUGCUUCAUUUGCAAUCUCUCUUUCUGUCCAAACAUUGAUUUCCUCCGUAGACUCUUCAUCAGUUAGCGGAAUAUCUUCUGGGUUGUCUUUGUCUCUUUCAACAGUGGUAGUGAGUUCAAACACAGUGAUGAACUUUUCCUCAUCAGAGUCAGUUAGUUUAGGCACAACAUUAGGGUCAUCCUCUGGAAGAAUUAAGUCAAUUUCAGUUAUUUUCUCUUCUGUAACGGUGGUUAUGUCUGGAAUAGUGGUGACGUUUUUUUCAGUAGCUGGAGAGAUUUCAGCCUCAGGAAUAGAGGAGUCAGUGAUCUGGACAGCCUCAUCAGCAGCGACAUUGGAUUUAACUGAGGAGCUAUCAUUGUUAGCUGGAAGGGCAGGGGUGUCAGCAGUGUUGGUGGUGCUGUCUUUUAGUGUGCCAGAGACUUCAGAAGUUGUUGAGACGUCUUCAUCCCCUGAGCCAAUAGUAUCCAAGAAAACAUCUUCUUUUGCCCUGUUAGUGGAAAAAUCUAUUAAAGACACAGUAGCAACAGGUGAUGAGAUAUUACCAAUUUUCAUUGAAAUGAAAUCUUCAGUAAUACAGUCACUAGCCAUGGAGUUUGUAGUGCCUGUCAGAGUGGUAAUGUCUUUCUCCAGAUGAGUUGAUGAUUUAAGAAUAUGGGAUUCAGCAUCAUCUUCUGAUUUUAGUCUUUCCUUUAGAGAUGUAAGCUUGUUGUAUGUAGUUGUUGAAAAAUCACUUUCUUGCAUAUGGUCAUUUACUGAAGUAAUGUGGUCUCCUUCUGAAGUAAUAGUUGUUUCUGAUCUAGGAAUAGUGUUUUCAGCCCCAAAGAAAAUGGUUGCUUCCGUUGUUGUUUUACUGCUUUCUGUUGGAGGAUGAGAAUAAAUUUUUGGCACACCAUCUUCAGCCAUGGGACGAAGUGGCACUAUGCACACUCAGAGGUCUUUCCCUGGGCCCAGUGAUAUCCCUAGGCAGGAGAGUAGUAUUCAUUAUAGUGAUGGAAGCACUGGUCAUCAAGGUGAUUGUUACAUCAACCACAGGGCCAAUGGCAUUGGCUCUCUGUGGAGGUUGUUUCUGUGCUCUGAUUGGGCACCUGGUUGCAAGAGUAUUGAUAUUAGAUAAAAAGACAACAGAGUCCUCUCUGGUUAUGUAAUCAAAAUUCACAGCUGAAUAUCAAUUGCAAAGAACUUGGGAUUUAACAUAUUUCUGAAUAUAAAGGAUGUGCCUUCCAAUAUGGGGCUUGUGUCACUUGAAACAGACAUAACAGAGUCUGCCAGUGUCAAUGGAGGAAACUCCAAGAGCCACAAGAUUAUCAGCAUCAUCUCCAAGUUGCCUGUCCUUCAAUUCCAUUAUGAUAUGGUUAUCCAAAAUACUGAAACUUACCGGGAAGUGAGAGACAAAAUUCAAGAUGGCCACAGUCAGGAUUAGGAUCUUCAUCUUGUCCUACUUAUUCCCUGCAACUGAGGUUCAGCUCCAGGAUCUGAGUGACGUAAGAGGAGCAAGAUAGGCAAAAUUGACCUAUACGUUACAUAAUCAAAGAAUUAUGAAGAAAUAAUUUUUUUGAGAGAUUCUUGGCUUUGAAUUGUGGGUGGUGAUCCAGGACAGCUGGCGGUGUAAUUCCAAUCCAAGUCUGAAGGCUAAGAACCCAGUAGCUAAUGGUGUGAAUCCUGGUCCAAAGGCAGCAGAAAAUUGAUGUCUCAACUCAAGCAGGCAGCAUUAUUGGAUUUGGAAGAACAACUUUGAUUUAUUCAUUCAUUCAAACGAUACUUAAUGGACAUCCUCUCUAUAGAAGGCACUGUGAAUUCAGCAGGAACAAGACAGACCCAGUUCCUGCCUUGAGUGGCUACAGAUUUAUUGGAAAGAGAUACAACACAAACAGAAAAGAGUGUUGAUCCACUGAUAUGUGGUUAACAGAGCAAGUGAACUUCCACUUAACUUUCUUUUGGACAAACUUUCUUCAUUCACCUUUUCUUCCAAGAAACUCGUGAAGAUCAGAAGUCAGGAUGUGGCUGCACUUGAAUCACUGGUGCCUGCGUGGUAAUCAGUAUCAUAAUAAAGACUGUGCAAUAAUAAUACACAAUAUUGUCUUAUCUGAGAACUGAGAUAAUCACUUUAUAGUCAAUAAAAUUAUAUAUACUUAGGACUGAUGUGGUGAUUUGAUAAUAAGACUUGCCUACUUUCUCUUUUAUGUUUAUCAUUACUGUGGAACACUAAUCAUAACACUCUCCUUUAUGAAGUCAAUAUUAUUUUAGGUGUUCAAAUUUAUGGAUUUUAUUUGAUUGAAUAUUAAAAUAUAGUAGAAAGGACUUUGGAGGCUAAGGACUUUGCAUAUUCCCUAAAUUUGAGUUUAUACUUAACAAUUUUGUAAGGAAGAUCCUUAUAUGAAAAUUUUAUCAUGUAACAUUAUAAUCUCUAUGUUUAUGUAAAAAUUAUUCAUGCCUUCUCCAAUGUGAACUCAAGGAUAUUCAGGAAGUUUUAGAAAAGUAGACUAAGCUUCUGUGAUCAUCAAUAAAAUGAAUUAUACACAGUUAACAUGUUAUUGAUAUGGAGGAAAGAGAUUAUUAAUCAUUUCACAUUUAAAUGCUUAUUGAAAUUAAAUAAAAUAUUAAAUACUUGGACAUAUGACUAUCAAAUUCUUGGGUAUUAACAUGACCUUAGAUAUAUUUAUGUUGGAUUGUCUUGAAAAAAGUAGGAGAAUAAUGGCUGACACAUGGUUCACAUCCAGUAAUUGGAGAAGGGAGUUUCAGACCAACUUGCCCAUCUGUCUUAAAAUAUAAUGUUUAGAAAAUCAAGGUAGUGUAAAAUUAUUGCCUAGCAGAAAAUUUGAAAGGAAAAUAAAUAUGUCGUAUAUAUUUUUGAAAGAAGGAUAAGAGUGGUUGAAUAAAUAGAAAUUGUAUUCUUAGAUUAAUUCCAAAUAGCAGCAAUUCAGAAAUAGGUGAGAAUUUGCAGAUAUUGUGUCAUUUGAGGAAUAGUAAAAUGUAUUAAAUAGAUAUAUCUUUAUUAUAUGUGCAUAUAAAAAUUCUAGAAAAAUAUUUUUAUUUCAAUUAAUUUCAGUGUGCGAUGUUUUUUAUCUUUUGCAUUUGUAAUUAUCUGAUAAUGCUUAUGUUUCUUUGCUUACAG
Molecule: long non-coding RNA, 4628 nt
Organism: Equus caballus (horse)
Lineage: Eukaryota; Metazoa; Chordata; Mammalia; Perissodactyla; Equidae
Source: Ensembl